CUACGGGCGGCUGCAGUGGGGAAUAUUGCACAAUGGGCGAAAGCCUGAUGCAGCCAUGCCGCGUGUGUGAAGAAGGCCUUCGGGUUGUAAAGCACUUUCAGUAGGGAGGAAAGGGUGUACGUUAAUACCGUGCAUCUGUGACGUUACCUACAGAAGAAGCACCGGCUAACUCCGUGCCAGCAGCCGCGGUAAUACGGAGGGUGCGAGCGUUAAUCGGAAUUACUGGGCGUAAAGCGUGUGUAGGCGGUUAUUUAAGCGAGAUGUGAAAUCCCGGGGCUCAACCUCGGAACUGCAUUUCGAACUGGAUGACUAGAGUUUUGUAGAGGGUGGUGGAAUUUCCAGUGUAGCGGUGAAAUGCGUAGAGAUUGGAAGGAACAUCAGUGGCGAAGGCGGCCACCUGGACAAAAACUGACGCUGAGACACGAAAGCGUGGGGAGCAAACAGGAUUAGAUACCCUUGUAGUC
This 464-nucleotide ribosomal RNA is filed under the name uncultured bacterium. Its description in RNAcentral is "partial 16S ribosomal RNA". It matches the Rfam family "Bacterial small subunit ribosomal RNA", at positions 339 to 795 of the family's 1533-position model. The record is from RNAcentral.